RNAcentral lists this small nuclear RNA (305 nucleotides) under Peromyscus maniculatus bairdii (prairie deer mouse). Its description in RNAcentral is "7SK RNA (ENSPEMG00000002566.2)". It matches the Rfam family "7SK RNA". From Rfam's summary of the family: 7SK was discovered as an abundant small nuclear RNA in the mid-70s but a possible function has only recently been suggested. Two independent studies have found that 7SK RNA binds the CDK9/cyclin T complex (known as elongation factor P-TEFb). Lineage: Eukaryota; Metazoa; Chordata; Mammalia; Rodentia; Cricetidae. The record is from RNAcentral.
GGGUGGGAAAGCAGUCUGUCUGUGUUAUCUGGCACCCCACUGAUCACCAGUGUUAACUAGGCUGAUCUGGCUAGCUAGGUGAGUGUCGCCUUCCUCCUUCACCACCCAUGAAUCCCUCCAGAAACUGUAUGAGUCAACCAGUCAAGGAGGACCUUCCCAGACAGAGAAGUCCCGAGGAAGCUGUUCUUUGGUCAAGGAUGUACAAGUAGCUGCACUCUCCUGUUAGAACCUCCAAACAGGCAAAAUCUCCAUUUUCCACGGUGAGAGUCAAUGACAGAAUGCUUCCUAGGAAGUGGCAUUUAUUU